CCUACGGGUGGCAGCAGUGAGGAAUAUUGGUCAAUGGGCGUAAGCCUGAACCAGCCAAGUCGCGUGAGGGAUGAAGGUUCUAUGGAUCGUAAACCUCUUUUAUAAGGGAAUAAAGUGCGGGACGUGUCCCGUUUUGUAUGUACCUUAUGAAUAAGGAUCGGCUAACUCCGUGCCAGCAGCCGCGGUAAUACGGAGGAUCCGAGCGUUAUCCGGAUUUAUUGGGUUUAAAGGGUUCGUAGGCGGCCUUUUAAGUCAGCGGGGAAAGUCUGUGGCUAAACCAUAGAAUUGCCGUUGAAACUGGGAGGCUUGAGUAUGUUUGAGGCAGGCGGAAUGCGUGGUGUAGCGGUGAAAUGCUUAGAUAUCACGCAGAACCCCGAUUGCGAAGGCAGCCUGCCAAGCCAUGACUGACGCUGAUGCACGAAAGCGUGGGGAUCAAACAGGAUUAGAUACCCUGGUAGUC
This 460-nucleotide ribosomal RNA is filed under the name uncultured bacterium. RNAcentral describes it as "partial 16S ribosomal RNA". It matches the Rfam family "Bacterial small subunit ribosomal RNA", at positions 338 to 795 of the family's 1533-position model. The record is from RNAcentral.